UGGGGAAUAUUGCACAAUGGGCGCAAGCCUGAUGCAGCGACGCCGCGUGGGGGAUGACGGCCUUCGGGUUGUAAACUCCUUUCGCUAGGGACGAAGCUUUUUGUGACGGUACCUAGAUAAGAAGCACCGGCUAACUACGUGCCAGCAGCCGCGGUAAUACGUAGGGUGCGAGCGUUGUCCGGAAUUACUGGGCGUAAAGGGCUCGUAGGUGGUUUGUCGCGUCGUCUGUGAAAUUCCGGGGCUUAACUCCGGGCGUGCAGGCGAUACGGGCAUAACUUGAGUACUGUAGGGGUAACUGGAAUUCCUGGUGUAGCGGUGAAAUGUGCAGAUAUCAGGAGGAACACCGAUGGCGAAGGCAGGUUACUGGGCAGUUACUGACGCUGAGGAGCGAAAGCAUGGGUAGCGAACAGG
Molecule: ribosomal RNA, 411 nt
Filed under: Actinomycetes bacterium
Lineage: Bacteria; Bacillati; Actinomycetota; Actinomycetes
Description: Actinobacteria bacterium partial 16S ribosomal RNA
Rfam family: Bacterial small subunit ribosomal RNA
Source: RNAcentral